Meriones unguiculatus (Mongolian gerbil) is the source of this 885-nucleotide long non-coding RNA. RefSeq lists it as uncharacterized. NCBI's taxonomy places the organism in Eukaryota, Metazoa, Chordata, Mammalia, Rodentia, Muridae. The record is from RefSeq and is a predicted model, not a curated record. The transcript has 3 exons.
GCAGCUUAAAUUCACAGAUCCUCGGGUCCUCUGAUCGGUCAAGAUUAGGGCAGCGAACAAUGACAGCUGUGUGUUAGCCACUUCCACUGAAGGCGUUUUCAGCAGCUAAGAAGCUCUGGAAAGCUGAAGUGGAAAACAGUUUGCUGGAGGAUCUGAAGACAGCUUUAUACAGGAGUCCUCCCGCUGCCUGAGUUCUCAAAGGUGAUGUAGAGGAGGGAAUUCAUUCACCUUCUCCAGAGAACUUUCCAGAGGUUUUACUUGUAGCAGGGCUCACUCCUGUCAUCUCAGUCCUCAGAAGGGAGAAGCAAGAGGAUCACAGAUUCCAGGUAUCUAACUCAGGUCGUCAACCUUGGCAGCAAGCCACUACAGACACUGGAGUGCGUAGUUUUUAUGUCAACUUGACACAAGCUACAGUCAUUUGGAAAGAAAAAAAAAAAAAAAAACCUCAUCUGAAAAAAUGACCCUGACAGAUUGGCUUGUGGACAAGUCUAUGGGGCUUUUCCUGAUUGAUGAUUGAUGUGGGAGGGCGCGUUUCACAGGCCUGGGCUGAUGGUCUUGGACACUAUAAGAAAGCAGGCUGAAUGAUAAGCAGCCAGGAGCAAAACAAAACAGUUAGCAGCACUCUUCCACGGCCUCUGCUUCAGCUCCUGCCUCACGGUUCCUGCCUUGGAGAACUGCCCUGACUGCCUUCUGUGAUGGACUGGCUGUGUUGUGGAAGUGUAAAAUGAAACAAUCCAGCUGUGCAGUGGCGGCGCGCACCUCUGAUCCCAGCACUUGGGAGGCAGAGGCAAGUCGGAUCUCUGUGAAUGACAAGGUUUCGCACACCUUGUCUUGAAAAACACGCAAACAAAGAAAAAGAUAAAAUAAACCCUUUCCCUUCCCAAA